This 292-nucleotide ribosomal RNA is filed under the name uncultured bacterium. RNAcentral's name for it is "partial 16S ribosomal RNA". It matches the Rfam family "Bacterial small subunit ribosomal RNA", at positions 505 to 796 of the family's 1533-position model. The record is from RNAcentral.
GUGCCAGCCGCCGCGGUAAUACGAACCGUCCAAACGUUAUUCGGAAUUACUGGGCUUAAAGGGUACGUAGGCGGCGCUGUCAGUCGGGUGUGAAAUCCCACGGCUCAACCGUGGAAUUGCGCCCGAUACUGCAGUGCUUGAGGGAGACAGAGGUAAGCGGAACUGAUGGUGGAGCGGUGAAAUGCGUUGAUAUCAUCAGGAACACCAGUGGCGAAAGCGGCUUACUGGGUCUCUUCUGACGCUGAGGUACGAAAGCCAGGGGAGCGAAGGGGAUUAGAAACCCUUGUAGUCC